CAGGGUGUGGGAAAGCCUGGUAUUCCGCGUGUUCCGGAAACACGAGAUCGCUGGUUCAAAUCCAGCCAUCCUGAC
This 75-nucleotide transfer RNA is filed under the name Lignipirellula cremea. RNAcentral's name for it is "Planctomycetes bacterium Pla85_3_4 tRNA-Pro". It matches the Rfam family "tRNA". From Rfam's summary of the family: Transfer RNA (tRNA) molecules are approximately 80 nucleotides in length. The record is from RNAcentral. Lineage: Bacteria; Pseudomonadati; Planctomycetota; Planctomycetia; Pirellulales; Pirellulaceae.